Molecule: long non-coding RNA, 290 nt
Filed under: Homo sapiens (human)
Lineage: Eukaryota; Metazoa; Chordata; Mammalia; Primates; Hominidae
Description: HSALNT0236285
Source: RNAcentral
GAGCCAGGCUGAGGGUCCGGCAAAGGGCGGGUCCUCCCCCGGUCUACCCUCUCCCGUCGGAAGCUGAGCGCACAGCAGAAGAGCCGCCAGCUAAACCUUCGGAACAAUUUCUUCAGGGCAGAAUCUGCUCCCACCUCUUCCCAUCGUGUCUCCCCACCAGGUUCCUGACUCCCCUCGGCUCCGUCUUCGCCUUCGCCACUAGGGAGGCCUUCACCAAGGUGACAGACCUGGAGGCUCGGGUGCACGGCCCGGACGCGGAGCACUACUGGUCGCUGGUGGCCAUGGCGGCG